GAUGAAGAACGUAGCGAAAUGCGAUAAGUAAUGCGAAUUGCAGAAUUUCCGUGAGUCAUCGAAUCUUUGAACGGACAUUGCGCCCACUGGUAUUCCGGUGGGCAUGCCUGUUCGAGCGUCAUUAUCCUCCCUCAAACCCCGGGUUUGGUGUUGGACCGAAGUUGUGUGAACAACUGGUCUAAAAAACAAUGACGGCGUCCGUGGGACCCUCGGUGCAACGAGCUUUUAGGAGCACGCGCCGAGUUGCAAGGACCUUCCGGGCCGGUCUCCUUUUACUAUUUUACAAGGUUGACCUCGGAUCAGGUAGGAAUACCCGCUGAACUUAAGCAUAUCAAUAAGCGGAGGA
RNAcentral lists this unclassified non-coding RNA (346 nucleotides) under soil metagenome. RNAcentral describes it as "partial contains 5.8S ribosomal RNA, internal transcribed spacer 2, and large subunit ribosomal RNA". The stretch from base 1 to 121 matches the Rfam family "5.8S ribosomal RNA", at positions 35 to 154 of the family's 154-position model. The record is from RNAcentral.